RNAcentral lists this transfer RNA (76 nucleotides) under Prevotella sp. RNAcentral describes it as "tRNA-Thr". It matches the Rfam family "tRNA". From Rfam's summary of the family: Transfer RNA (tRNA) molecules are approximately 80 nucleotides in length. Their secondary structure includes four short double-helical elements and three loops (D, anti-codon, and T loops). The record is from RNAcentral. Lineage: Bacteria; Pseudomonadati; Bacteroidota; Bacteroidia; Bacteroidales; Prevotellaceae. RNAcentral also lists the same sequence under 6 other names.
GCCUGAAUAGCUCAGUCGGUAGAGCAUUUCAUUCGUAACGAAAAGGUCAAGGGUUCGAGUCCCUUUUCAGGCUCCA